GUUGGGCCUGCUCGGUGAGAAGAAAAAUUUAACAGCUGCGGUAUUAUAACUGUACUAAGGUAGCAUAAUAAUUUGCCUUAUAAAUUAAGGCUAGAAUGAAUGGUUUGACGAAAAUUAGACUGUCUUUAUUUUAUUUGUUAGAAAUUAAUUUUUAUAGUGAAAAAGCUUGAAUAAUUUAAGGGGACGAGAAGACCCUAUUGAGCUUUAUUUAUUAAUAUUUAAAUAUAAAUAUAUAAUUUAUAUUAUGAAAAUUAUGUUGUAUAUAUAUAUAUUUAAUUGGAUUUAAUUUUGAUUGGGGUGAUCAAGGAAUAAAGAUAAAGUAACUUCCUUAAAAUUAAUGAUUGUUUUUAUAGAGUAAUAAACCAAGUUUUUUGCUUAUAAGAUAAGUUACCAUAGGGGUAACAGCGUAAUUUUUUUUGAGAGUUCAUAUUGAAAAAAGAGAUUGCGACCUCGAUGUUGGAUUAAAAAUUACCUUAAGG
Molecule: ribosomal RNA, 479 nt
Filed under: Callistoctopus minor (long arm octopus)
Lineage: Eukaryota; Metazoa; Mollusca; Cephalopoda; Octopoda; Octopodidae
Description: partial 16S ribosomal RNA
Rfam family: Bacterial large subunit ribosomal RNA
Source: RNAcentral